Molecule: RNase P RNA, 385 nt
Filed under: Oscillospiraceae bacterium
Lineage: Bacteria; Bacillati; Bacillota; Clostridia; Eubacteriales; Oscillospiraceae
Description: RNase P RNA component class A
Rfam family: Bacterial RNase P class A
About the family: Ribonuclease P (RNase P) is a ubiquitous endoribonuclease, found in archaea, bacteria and eukarya as well as chloroplasts and mitochondria. Its best characterised activity is the generation of mature 5'-ends of tRNAs by cleaving the 5'-leader elements of precursor-tRNAs. Cellular RNase Ps are ribonucleoproteins.
Source: RNAcentral
UGACCGAAUGGCGCGAUCGCGUGGCAUGUUGCCGAAAGGUAUUGCCAUGAGGAAAGUCCGGGCUUCACAGGGCGGGAUAACGGAUAACGUCCGCCGGAGGCGACUCCCGGGAAAGUGCAACAGAGAUAUACCGCCUGCCUUUGGCAGGUAAGGGUGGAAAGGCGAGGUAAGAGCUCACCGAUCCCUAUGGUAACACAGGGAUCCUGUAAACCCUAUCCGAAGCAACACCGUAUGCGGAAUCGGCUUUGCCGAGUGGCGGCCCGUCACGUUUCCGCGGGUGGCAGAAGCUUUUAGCUUUGAGGGCUGCGGUAACGCAGCUCACAGACAGAUGAUCGCGGUUUCGCUUUGCGAUCCACAGAACCCGGCUUACAAGUUCGGUCAAAAA